AACGGUCUAUACCUGCGGUACCUGCGGAAGGAUCAUUAAAGAGUGAUGCCACCCUUCAAAGGGCUGGUAGUAAACUCCAACCCCCUAUGUUUUUAUUUACCUUUUUGUUGCUUAGGCGGUUCGUAAAGCUUUUUUUUUUUUAAAAAAAAAUGGCUUUCCAUUGGCUUUUUUCUUAGGCUGAUGAGUUUUAACCGCCAAAGGACUUAAAAACUCUUUGAAAUUUAUUGUCUGAGAUUUUUU
Molecule: unclassified non-coding RNA, 240 nt
Filed under: soil metagenome
Description: partial contains 5.8S ribosomal RNA, internal transcribed spacer 2, and large subunit ribosomal RNA
Source: RNAcentral